Desarmillaria tabescens is the source of this 104-nucleotide non-coding RNA. The record is from the annotation of a RefSeq genome assembly. NCBI's taxonomy places the organism in Eukaryota, Fungi, Basidiomycota, Agaricomycetes, Agaricales, Physalacriaceae.
GCCCUUAUGGCGUAGUGGUAGCGCGUCGCACUUGUAUUCAAGCAGGAUUUAACUGCUGUUUUCGGGGUAUGCGAAGGUCUCUAGUUCAAUCCUGGAUGGGGGCA